GAUGAACGCUAGCAGAACGCCUAACACAUGCAAGUCGAACGAACCAGCAAUGGUUAGUGGCAAACGGGCGAGUAACGCGUAUCUAACCUACCCUUGAGUGAGGCACAACUACAGAGAUGUAGCUAAUUCCUCAUACGUUCUAGAGAAUGAAAAUAUCUAGAAGAAAGAUUUAUCGCUCAGGGAGGGGGGGUGCGUCCUAUCAGGUAGUUGGUGAGGUAAUAGCUCACCAAGCCUAUGACGGGUAGCCGGUCUGAGAGGAUGUCCGGCCGCAAUGGAACUGAGAACGGUCCAUACUCCUACGGGAGGCAGCAGUGGGGAAUAUUGGACAAUGGGCGAAAGCCUGAUCCAGCGAUUCUGCGUGAAGGAUGAAGCCUUAUGGGGUGUAAACUUCUUUUCUGGGGGAAGACGAAUGACGGUACCUCAGGAAUAAGAGACGGCUAACUACGUG
This 448-nucleotide ribosomal RNA is filed under the name uncultured bacterium. RNAcentral describes it as "bacterial SSU rRNA". It matches the Rfam family "Bacterial small subunit ribosomal RNA", at positions 28 to 507 of the family's 1533-position model. The record is from RNAcentral.